This 492-nucleotide ribosomal RNA is filed under the name uncultured bacterium. RNAcentral's name for it is "partial 16S ribosomal RNA". It matches the Rfam family "Bacterial small subunit ribosomal RNA", at positions 29 to 507 of the family's 1533-position model. The record is from RNAcentral.
AGUGAACGCUGGCGGUAGGCCUAACACAUGCAAGUCGAACGGCAGCACAGUAAGAGCUUGCUCUUACGGGUGGCGAGUGGCGGACGGGUGAGGAAUACAUCGGAAUCUACUUUUUCGUGGGGGAUAACGUAGGGAAACUUACGCUAAUACCGCAUACGACCUACGGGUGAAAGCAGGGGAUCUUCGGACCUUGCGCGAUUGAAUGAGCCGAUGUCGGAUUAGCUAGUUGGCGGGGUAAAGGCCCACCAAGGCGACGAUCCGUAGCUGGUCUGAGAGGAUGAUCAGCCACACUGGAACUGAGACACGGUCCAGACUCCUACGGGAGGCAGCAGUGGGGAAUAUUGGACAAUGGGCGAAAGCCUGAUCCAGCCAUACCGCGUGGGUGAAGAAGGCCUUCGGGUUGUAAAGCCCUGUUGUUGGGAAAGAAAAGCAGCAGGUUAAUCCACCGCUGUUCUGACGGUACCCAAAGAAUAAGCACCGGCUAACUUCGUG